UGGGGAAUUUUGGACAAUGGGCGAAAGCCUGAUCCAGCAAUGCCGCGUGUGUGAAGAAGGCCUUCGGGUUGUAAAGCACUUUUGUCCGGAAAGAAAUCCUUGGCUCUAAUACAGUCGGGGGAUGACGGUACCGGAAGAAUAAGCACCGGCUAACUACGUGCCAGCAGCCGCGGUAAUACGUAGGGUGCAAGCGUUAAUCGGAAUUACUGGGCGUAAGCGUGCGCAGGCGGUUUGCUAAGACCGAUGUGAAAUCCCCGGGCUCAACCUGGGAACUGCAUUGGUGACUGGCAGGCUAGAGUAUGGCAGAGGGGGGUAGAAUUCCACGUGUAGCAGUGAAAUGCGUAGAGAUGUGGAGGAAUACCGAUGGCGAAGGCAGCCCCCUGGGCCAAUACUGACGCUCAUGCACGAAAGCGUGGGGAGCAAAACAGGAUUAGAUACCCUGGUAGUCCACGCCCUAAAACGAUGUCAACUAGUUGUUGGGGAUUCAUUUCCUUAGUAACGUAGCUAACGCGUGAAGUUGACCGCCUGGGGAGUACGGUCGCAAGAUUAAAACUCAAAUGAAUUGACGGGGUCAUAGCUGUUUCCU
Molecule: ribosomal RNA, 586 nt
Filed under: uncultured bacterium
Lineage: Bacteria
Description: partial 16S ribosomal RNA
Rfam family: Bacterial small subunit ribosomal RNA
Source: RNAcentral